RNAcentral lists this transfer RNA (73 nucleotides) under Pseudomonadota bacterium. RNAcentral's name for it is "tRNA-Lys". It matches the Rfam family "tRNA". Rfam says of the family: Transfer RNA (tRNA) molecules are approximately 80 nucleotides in length. Their secondary structure includes four short double-helical elements and three loops (D, anti-codon, and T loops). The record is from RNAcentral. Lineage: Bacteria; Pseudomonadati; Pseudomonadota. RNAcentral also lists the same sequence under 2 other names.
GGGCUUGUAGCUCAGCCGGUAGAGCAGCGGCCUUUUAAGCCGUUGGCCGAGGGUUCGAAUCCCUCCGAGCCCA